Molecule: ribosomal RNA, 253 nt
Filed under: uncultured Pseudomonadota bacterium
Lineage: Bacteria; Pseudomonadati; Pseudomonadota
Also listed under: 1 other name
Description: uncultured proteobacterium partial 16S ribosomal RNA
Rfam family: Bacterial small subunit ribosomal RNA
Source: RNAcentral
UACGGAGGGGGUUAGCGUUGUUCGGAAUUACUGGGCGUAAAGCGCACGUAGGCGGACUGGAAAGUUGGGGGUGAAAUCCCGGGGCUCAACCCCGGAACUGCCUCCAAAACUAUCAGUCUAGAGUUCGAGAGAGGUGAGUGGAAUUCCGAGUGUAGAGGUGAAAUUCGUAGAUAUUCGGAGGAACACCAGUGGCGAAGGCGGCUCACUGGCUCGAUACUGACGCUGAGGUGCGAAAGUGUGGGGAGCAAACAGG